Molecule: ribosomal RNA, 465 nt
Filed under: Vreelandella stevensii
Lineage: Bacteria; Pseudomonadati; Pseudomonadota; Gammaproteobacteria; Oceanospirillales; Halomonadaceae
Description: partial 16S ribosomal RNA
Rfam family: Bacterial small subunit ribosomal RNA
Source: RNAcentral
CCUACGGGUGGCAGCAGUGGGGAAUAUUGGACAAUGGGGGCAACCCUGAUCCAGCCAUGCCGCGUGUGUGAAGAAGGCCCUCGGGUUGUAAAGCACUUUCAGUGAGGAAGAACGCCUGGUGGUUAAUACCCAUCAGGAAAGACGUCACUCACAGAAGAAGCACCGGCUAACUCCGUGCCAGCAGCCGCGGUAAUACGGAGGGUGCGAGCGUUAAUCGGAAUUACUGGGCGUAAAGCGCGCGUAGGUGGCUUGAUAAGCCGGUUGUGAAAGCCCCGGGCUCAACCUGGGAACGGCAUCCGGAACUGUCAAGCUAGAGUGCAGGAGAGGAAGGUAGAAUUCCCGGUGUAGCGGUGAAAUGCGUAGAGAUCGGGAGGAAUACCAGUGGCGAAGGCGGCCUUCUGGACUGACACUGACACUGAGGUGCGAAAGCGUGGGUAGCAAACAGGAUUAGAUACCCUAGUAGUC